ACUAAAUAGAUACCCAGGUAGUCCACGCCCUAAACGAUGUCUACUAGUUGUCGGGUCUUAAUUGACUUGGUAAACGCAGCUAAACGCGUGAAGUAGACCGCCUGGGGAGUACGGUCGCAAGAUUAAAACUCAAAGGAAUUGACGGGGACCCGCACAAGCGGUGGAUGAUGUGGAUUGAUUCGAUGCAACGCGAAAAACCUUACCUACCCUUGACAUGGAUGGAAUCCCUGAGAGAUUGGGGAGUGCCCGAAAGGGAACCAUUACACAGGUGCUGCAUGGCUGUCGUCAGCUCGUGUCGUGAGAUGUCGGGUUAAGUCCCGCAACGAGCGCAACCCUUGUCAUUAGUUGCUACGAAAGGGCACUCUAAUGAGACUGCCGGUGACAAACCGGAGGAAGGUGGGGAUGACGUCAAGUCCUCAUGGCCCUUAUGGGUAGGGCUUCACACGUCAUACAAUGGUACAUACAGAGGGCCGCCAACCCGGCGAGGGGGUAGCUAAUCCCAGAAAGUGUAUCGUAGUCCGGAUUGUAGUCUGCAACUCGACUGC
Molecule: ribosomal RNA, 545 nt
Filed under: uncultured bacterium
Lineage: Bacteria
Description: bacterial SSU rRNA
Rfam family: Bacterial small subunit ribosomal RNA
Source: RNAcentral